RNAcentral lists this ribosomal RNA (1332 nucleotides) under uncultured bacterium. Its description in RNAcentral is "bacterial SSU rRNA". It matches the Rfam family "Bacterial small subunit ribosomal RNA", at positions 28 to 1381 of the family's 1533-position model. The record is from RNAcentral.
AACGAACGCUGGCGGCGUGGAUAAGACAUGCAAGUCGAACGAGAGAAUUGCUAGCUUGCUAAUAAUUCUCUAGUGGCGCACGGGUGAGUAACACGUGAGUAACCUGCCCCCGAGAGCGGGAUAGCCCUGGGAAACUGGGAUUAAUACCGCAUAGUAUCGAAAGAUUAAAGCAGCAAUGCGCUUGGGGAUGGGCUCGCGGCCUAUUAGUUAGUUGGUGAGGUAACGGCUCACCAAGGCGAUGACGGGUAGCCGGUCUGAGAGGAUGUCCGGCCACACUGGAACUGAGACACGGUCCAGACACCUACGGGUGGCAGCAGUCGAGAAUCAUUCACAAUGGGGGAAACCCUGAUGGUGUGACGCCGCGUGGGGGAAUGAAGGUCUUCGGAUUGUAAACCCCUGUCAUGUGGGAGCAAAUUAAAAAGAUAGUACCACAAGAGGAAGAGACGGCUAACUCUGUGCCAGCAGCCGCGGUAAUACAGAGGUCUCAAGCGUUGUUCGGAAUCACUGGGCGUAAAGCGUGCGUAGGCUGUUUCGUAAGUCGUGUGUGAAAGGCGCGGGCUCAACCCGCGGACGGCACAUGAUACUGCGAGACUAGAGUAAUGGAGGGGGAACCGGAAUUCUCGGUGUAGCAGUGAAAUGCGUAGAUAUCGAGAGGAACACUCGUGGCGAAGGCGGGUUCCUGGACAUUAACUGACGCUGAGGCACGAAGGCCAGGGGAGCGAAAGGGAUUAGAUACCCCUGUAGUCCUGGCAGUAAACGGUGCACGCUUGGUGUGCGGGGAAUCGACCCCCUGCGUGCCGGAGCUAACGCGUUAAGCGUGCCGCCUGGGGAGUACGGUCGCAAGAUUAAAACUCAAAGAAAUUGACGGGGACCCGCACAAGCGGUGGAGUAUGUGGCUUAAUUCGAUGCAACGCGAAGAACCUUACCUGGGCUUGACAUGUAAUGAACAACAUGUGAAAGCAUGCGACUCUUCGGAGGCGUUACACAGGUGCUGCAUGGCCGUCGUCAGCUCGUGUCGUGAGAUGUUUGGUUAAGUCCAGCAACGAGCGCAACCCCUGUUGCCAGUUACCAGCACGUGAAGGUGGGGACUCUGGCGAGACUGCCCAGAUCAACUGGGAGGAAGGUGGGGACGACGUCAGGUCUGUAUGGCCCUUAUGCCCAGGGCUGCACACGUACUACAAUGCCCAGUACAGAGGGGGCCGAAGCCGCGAGGCGGAGGAAAUCCUGAAAACUGGGCCCAGUUCGGACUGUAGGCUGCAACCCGCCUACACGAAGCCGGAAUCGCUAGUAAUGGCGCAUCAGCUACGGCGCCGUGAAUACGUUCCCGGGUCU